This 732-nucleotide long non-coding RNA is filed under the name Androctonus crassicauda. Lineage: Eukaryota; Metazoa; Arthropoda; Arachnida; Scorpiones; Buthidae. The record is from RNAcentral.
AAAUGAUAUACCACAAAAUUAUUAUUUGAAAAAUUAAAAAUCCUGUAAAAUUCGUUAGAAAACAAUCAUUUUGGAUUUUAAAUUGAAUCAAACUCAAUGAUAUUUUUUAAAUCAGUAUAUAAAAAAUCAUUAAUGCUUUGAUAAUUAAAUCUGUGUGGCAUUUAUGCUCUUUGUAUGAAAACAUCAAAUCCAUACAACAUAUGAGAUGGGUUUAGAAUUGAAUUGAAUUAUUCACAUAAAAGACAGGAUUGAUCUAUUUGGUUUUCUUCCAUAAACUCUUAGCUAUAGUAUAUUUCUUGUUAUCUGAAAAAGUAAAAUUUGAAUAUUGUGAAUUGACCGAUUUCAUGGGAAACGCCCACUGCCAUGACGUCACAAAAUGGCAUCUGUACGACGGAAACAAAUCGCAUGCGGUCGCGUGCUUCAGCGUUGUACCAUGACGUCUCUUCAAAAUUUAAAUAAAUUUACCAUCAAAAUAGGCUUUAACUACUUUAAACGCCAUUCGAACAACACAAGAAGAUCAAAAGAAGGUGGUUUUUCCUAUUUUAGUGCAAGUUAUAUACAUGAAUCGAAAGAAAAUAUAUUAUCGGCCAAAUGCUGACGUUCUCAAAGAAAGAGGAGGAACCAUAUAAAUAGAACUAUUGUUUGAAACCGAUGUUACUUUGAAAUUAAUGAAUGCACGUUGUUUCUGUGCUGCUGAGUAAGUUUUAAAUUUACAAUAUAAUUAGAGUGACC